RNAcentral lists this ribosomal RNA (499 nucleotides) under uncultured Glomus. RNAcentral describes it as "SSU rRNA". It matches the Rfam family "Eukaryotic small subunit ribosomal RNA", at positions 591 to 1092 of the family's 1831-position model. The record is from RNAcentral. Lineage: Eukaryota; Fungi; Glomeromycota; Glomeromycetes; Glomerales; Glomeraceae.
CCAAUAGCGUAUAUUAAAGUUGUUGCAGUUAAAAAGCUCGUAGUUGAAUUUCGGGAUCAGUACGUUGGUCGUGCCUUGGUAUGUACUGGUGUCACUGGUUCCUACCUUCUGACGAACCGUCAUGUCAUUAAUUUGGUGUGGCGGGGAAUCAGGACUGUUACUUUGAAAAAAUUAGAGUGUUUAAAGCAGGCUCGCGCUUGAAUACAUUAGCAUGGAAUAAUGAAAUAGGACGUUCGAUCCUAUUUUGUUGGUUUCUAGGAUUGACGUAAUGAUUAAUAGGGAUAGUUGGGGGCAUUAGUAUUCAAUUGUCAGAGGUGAAAUUCUUGGAUUUAUUGAAGACUAACUACUGCGAAAGCAUUUGCCAAGGAUGUUUUCAUUAAUCAAGAACGAAAGUUAGGGGAUCGAAGACGAUCAGAUACCGUCGUAGUCUUAACCAUAAACUAUGCCGACUAGGGAUCGGAUGAUGUUAAUUUUUUAAUGACUCAUUCGGCGCCUUACG